RNAcentral lists this ribosomal RNA (499 nucleotides) under Caulobacter sp. Its description in RNAcentral is "bacterial SSU rRNA". It matches the Rfam family "Bacterial small subunit ribosomal RNA", at positions 205 to 724 of the family's 1533-position model. Lineage: Bacteria; Pseudomonadati; Pseudomonadota; Alphaproteobacteria; Caulobacterales; Caulobacteraceae. The record is from RNAcentral.
AGAUUUAUCGCCAUUGGAGCGGCCCGCGUCUGAUUAGCUAGUUGGUGAGGUAAAGGCUCACCAAGGCGACGAUCAGUAGCUGGUCUGAGAGGAUGAUCAGCCACAUUGGGACUGAGACACGGCCCAAACUCCUACGGGAGGCAGCAGUGGGGAAUCUUGCGCAAUGGGCGAAAGCCUGACGCAGCCAUGCCGCGUGAAUGAUGAAGGUCUUAGGAUUGUAAAAUUCUUUCAGCAGGGACGAUAAUGACGGUACCUGCAGAAGAAGCCCCGGCUAACUUCGUGCCAGCAGCCGCGGUAAUACGAAGGGGGCUAGCGUUGCUCGGAAUUACUGGGCGUAAAGGGCGCGUAGGCGGGUCGUUUAGUUAGAGGUGAAAGCCCAGGGCUCAACCCUGGAAUUGCCUUUAAUACUGGCGGCCUUGAGUAUGGCAGAGGUGUGUGGAACUCCGAGUGUAGAGGUGAAAUUCGUAGAUAUUCGGAAGAACACCAGUGGCGAAGGCGA